UACGUAGGGCGCAAGCGUUAUCCGGAAUUAUUGGGCGUAAAGAGCUCGUAGGCGGUCUGUCACGUCGGCUGUGAAAACCCGGGGCUCAACCCCGGGCCUGCAGUCGAUACGGGCAGACUAGAGUGCGGUAGGGGAGACUGGAAUUCCUGGUGUAGCGGUGAAAUGCGCAGAUAUCAGGAGGAACACCGGUGGCGAAGGCGGGUCUCUGGGCCGAUACUGACGCUGAGGAGCGAAAGCGUGGGGAGCGAACAGG
Molecule: ribosomal RNA, 253 nt
Filed under: uncultured bacterium
Lineage: Bacteria
Description: partial 16S ribosomal RNA
Rfam family: Bacterial small subunit ribosomal RNA
Source: RNAcentral